GCCUGGGUGGCUCAGUCAGUUGAGUGUCUGACUUCAGCUUAGGUCAUGAUCUUGCAUUCAUGGGUUCGAGCCCUGCCUCAGGCU
Molecule: transfer RNA, 84 nt
Filed under: Felis catus (domestic cat)
Lineage: Eukaryota; Metazoa; Chordata; Mammalia; Carnivora; Felidae
Rfam family: tRNA
About the family: Transfer RNA (tRNA) molecules are approximately 80 nucleotides in length. Their secondary structure includes four short double-helical elements and three loops (D, anti-codon, and T loops). Further hydrogen bonds mediate the characteristic L-shaped molecular structure. tRNAs have two regions of fundamental functional importance: the anti-codon, which is responsible for specific mRNA codon recognition, and the 3' end, to which the tRNAs corresponding amino acid is attached (by aminoacyl-tRNA synthetases). tRNAs cope with the degeneracy of the genetic code in two manners: having more than one tRNA (with a specific anti-codon) for a particular amino acid; and 'wobble' base-pairing, i.e. permitting non-standard base-pairing at the 3rd anti-codon position.
Source: Rfam by way of RNAcentral